GCUUGUCUCAAAGAUUAAGCCAUGCAUGUCUAAGUAUAAGCAUUAUACAGUGAAACUGCGAAUGGCUCAUUAUAUCAGUUAUAGUUUAUUUGAUAGUCCCUGCUAUUUGGAUAACCGUAGUAAUUCUAGAGCUAAUACAUGCACCAAGCAGCCCUCACGGGUUGUGUAUUUAUUAGAUGGAAACCAAUGCGGGGCAACCCGGUAUAUGGUGAUUCAUAAUAACUUUCGGAUCGAUCUUCGGAUCGAUGCAUCAUUCAAGUUUCUGCCCUAUCAGCUUUGGAUGGUAGGGUAUUGGCCUACCAUGGCUUUAACGGGUAACGGAGAAUUAGGGUUCGAUUCCGGAGAGGGAGCCUGAGAAACGGCUACCACAUCCAAGGAAGGCAGCAGG
RNAcentral lists this ribosomal RNA (388 nucleotides) under uncultured Allapsidae. RNAcentral describes it as "partial small subunit ribosomal RNA". It matches the Rfam family "Eukaryotic small subunit ribosomal RNA", at positions 30 to 432 of the family's 1831-position model. Lineage: Eukaryota; Cercozoa; Glissomonadida; Viridiraptoridae. The record is from RNAcentral.